RNAcentral lists this transfer RNA (77 nucleotides) under Perlucidibaca piscinae. Its description in RNAcentral is "tRNA-Ile". It matches the Rfam family "tRNA". From Rfam's summary of the family: Transfer RNA (tRNA) molecules are approximately 80 nucleotides in length. Their secondary structure includes four short double-helical elements and three loops (D, anti-codon, and T loops). The record is from RNAcentral. RNAcentral also lists the same sequence under 2 other names. Lineage: Bacteria; Pseudomonadati; Pseudomonadota; Gammaproteobacteria; Pseudomonadales; Perlucidibacaceae.
GGGCCUGUAGCUCAGUCGGUUAGAGCAGAGGACUCAUAAUCCUUUGGUCCUGGGUUCAAGUCCCAGCGGGCCCACCA